GUGGGGAAUAUUGCACAAUGGGGGAAACCCUGAUGCAGCAACGCCGCGUGAGUGAUGACGGUCUUCGGAUUGUAAAGCUCUGUCUUCAGGGACGAUAAUGACGGUACCUGAGGAGGAAGCCACGGCUAACUCCGUGCCAGCAGCCGCGGUAAUACGUAGGUGGCAAGCGUUGUCCGGAGUUACUGGGCGUAAAGGGAGCGUAGGUGGAUAGUUAAGUGGGAUGUGAAAUACUCGGGCUUAACCUGGGUGCUGCAUUCCAAACUGGAUAUCUAGAGUGCAGGAGAGGAAAGUAGAAUUCCUAGUGUAGCAGUGAAAUGCGUAGAGAUUAGGAAGAAUACCAGUGGCGAAGGCGACUUUCUGGACUGUAACUGACACUGAGGCUCGAAAGCGUGGGGAGCAAACAGGAUUAGAUACCCGUGUAGUCC
This 425-nucleotide ribosomal RNA is filed under the name uncultured bacterium. Its description in RNAcentral is "partial 16S ribosomal RNA". It matches the Rfam family "Bacterial small subunit ribosomal RNA", at positions 354 to 796 of the family's 1533-position model. The record is from RNAcentral.